Molecule: non-coding RNA, 73 nt
Organism: Sitodiplosis mosellana (orange wheat blossom midge)
Lineage: Eukaryota; Metazoa; Arthropoda; Insecta; Diptera; Cecidomyiidae
Source: the annotation of a RefSeq genome assembly
GUCGUUGUAGCUCAAUGGACAGAGCUUCUGACCGGCAAUCAGAAGGUCCGUGGUUCGAUUCCCGGCAAUGGAA